Pipistrellus kuhlii (Kuhl's pipistrelle) is the source of this 695-nucleotide long non-coding RNA. RefSeq lists it as uncharacterized. The record is from RefSeq and is a predicted model, not a curated record. The transcript has 2 exons. Lineage: Eukaryota; Metazoa; Chordata; Mammalia; Chiroptera; Vespertilionidae.
AAUUUUUACAAAACAAAAGGCAGUAUCAAAAACAGCAAAGAGUUUACAGGAUUUCUGCACCAGUUUUCACAGAAGUCAGUGAUUACGGUGUCCAAUGUAAAUACGAAGCACAGGCGGAUUUCCCUCUUGGUCAUAUGCACUCAGGUGGUUGGAUUUGGAGCUACUGAAUAACAGCUUUUUAUAAGCACCGGUCAUUUGUUUUGAGAACUGAUUUGGUUUGUCCAACAAGUAAACACUUUUUGCUGUGUGUGGCAUUUUCUUCUUUUUAAAAAACACUGAGCUAAAAUACACGAUGCGUGUGUGUUUGGAUCUGAACCAAAUCUUUUGAGAUCCUAAUUCCCCUGAAAAACACUGAACACAUUUAUAGGGAUUAUUCAAUACUGGUUCUAUACCGCAACAGGUUAAGGCAGCUACUAUAGUUCUAAGGAAAACAGCAUUUCAUUCAGAGGCUGCCCAGAGUUUGAACUACAUCACAGUUUCCACGUCCUUUCUGAUGGGGAGGAGUUUUCCCACGUAGGGCCACAUUAUUGAAACAAAAGUUUUAUGGUCAAGCCCAACAGGCUCUGGCAUUUUAUGGAACAUUAGUGUCGAGCAAGACUCCUUGCUCUGGACCCUGGUGACCACAAAGAAAUCGAGAGGCCAUGAUCGCUGGGUGCUGAGAGGAGGAGUAUACUGAAACUCACAUAAUCUGGAGG